Molecule: non-coding RNA, 101 nt
Organism: Rhexocercosporidium sp. MPI-PUGE-AT-0058
Lineage: Eukaryota; Fungi; Ascomycota; Leotiomycetes; Helotiales
Source: the annotation of a GenBank genome assembly
UCCGGAAUGGUGUAGUGGCUAGCAUUUCUGCCUCUCAAGAUCUGCUGAUACAGCAGGAAAUCUGAUCGCAGGAGACCGGGGUUCAAUUCCCCGUUCCGGAA